CCAAGCUGAUAACCAACUGCUAACGAGGGCGUCAGGGCCAGAGCCAGGAGGACAAGAGACUCACAGUUCAGGAUUGGAUGUCCUGAGUCACAGAAGCCCCAGCUGUCCACUAACCAGCACCCCGCUGAAUCCGACAGCUCGGAAGAGGACGAGGAUAUGAAAGACCAGCCAUAAUGUGGUCGGCAAUUACCGACGGUUUUUGGGAACUGGUGGGAGAGCAAUGCGUUGAUGUCUGGGAUCGACUGUGAAACGUUGUGAUGUCUCACUUUUAUCUCUGCGGACUGGUGAGGAUGAUGGUGACUUGGUUAAGUUGGUGUCCUGGACGACCCAACAUGGAUCUACGGCUCCUUCAACUGUAGGAGGUCACCAAAGUGCGAACUCUUGGAGAGGCCAGACCCCUCCAGGCCUCUUCCCGAGCCUGCCCCCUGCUCGGGGCCCAGGAGGCUGACCUGCUUGGACUACAGCCAUCGGCUCCCUGCCCACUGGCUUCUGGCUGGACUUGGCCAUCAGGAAGCACUGGUGGGAGACAGGGAGAAGAGGCCCAUUGGGGUGGACACCGUGGACGGCUCACCUGAGGGACCACGUGGGUGCAGGACGGGAACAGCAUGACCAACCAUCCUAGUUCCCCCAGGGCUGCAGGUUUCCCAGGACAGGGGACUUCCUGUGCUAGGACCAGGAGGGGCCAGGCAGACUGUGGAAUGUGACUUUACAAGGUGACUUAAACAAAACUCAAGGGAGCUCAGGACAGUGGUUAAGACCCAUCGAAGAGUAGCUACUCU
This is a long non-coding RNA of Enhydra lutris kenyoni (northern sea otter), 779 nucleotides long. RefSeq lists it as uncharacterized. The transcript is spliced from 4 exons. The record is from RefSeq and is a predicted model, not a curated record. NCBI's taxonomy places the organism in Eukaryota, Metazoa, Chordata, Mammalia, Carnivora, Mustelidae.